RNAcentral lists this ribosomal RNA (433 nucleotides) under uncultured bacterium. RNAcentral's name for it is "partial 16S ribosomal RNA". It matches the Rfam family "Bacterial small subunit ribosomal RNA", at positions 29 to 507 of the family's 1533-position model. The record is from RNAcentral.
AACGAGCGCUGGCGGCAGGCCUAACACAUGCCAGUCGAGCGCGCCCUCCGGGGUGAGCGGCGGACGGGUGAGUAACGCGUGGGAACGUGCCCUUUUCUACGGAAUAGCCUCGGGAAACUGAGAGUAAUACCGUAUACGCCCCUUGGGGGCAAGAUUCAUCGGAAAAGGAUCGGCCCGCGUUGGUUUAGGUUGUUGGUGGGGUAUUGGCCUACCAAGCCGACGAUCCAUAGCUGGUUUGAGAGGCUGAUCAGCCACACUGGGACUGAGACACGGCCCAGACUCCUACGGGAGGCAGCAGUGGGUAAUCUUAGACAAUGGGGGCAAACCUGAUCUAGCCAUGCCGCGUAAGUCAUGAUGGCCUUAGGGUUGUAAAGCACUUUCAGAUGGGAAGAUAAUGACGGUACCAGCAGAAGAAGCCCCGGCUAACUCCGUG